AUUGAACGCUGGCGGCAGGCCUAACACAUGCAAGUCGAGCGGAUGAAGGGAGCUUGCUCCUGGAUUCAGCGGCGGACGGGUGAGUAAUGCCUAGGAAUCUGCCUGGUCGUGGGGGAUAACGUCCGGAAACGGGCGCUAAUACCGCAUACGUCCUGAGGGAGAAAGUGGGGGAUCUUCGGACCUCACGCUAUCAGAUGAGCCUAGGUCGGAUUAGCUAGUUGGUGGGGUAAAGGCCUACCAAGGCGACGAUCCGUAACUGGUCUGAGAGGAUGAUCAGUCACACUGGAACUGAGACACGGUCCAGACUCCUACGGGAGGCAGCAGUGGGGAAUAUUGGACAAUGGGCGAAAGCCUGAUCCAGCCAUGCCGCGUGUGUGAAGAAGGUCUUCGGAUUGUAAAGCACUUUAAGUUGGGAGGAAGAGCAGUAAGUUAAUACCUGGCUGUUUUGACGUUACCAACAGAAUAAGCACCGGCUAACUUCGUG
RNAcentral lists this ribosomal RNA (484 nucleotides) under uncultured bacterium. RNAcentral's name for it is "partial 16S ribosomal RNA". It matches the Rfam family "Bacterial small subunit ribosomal RNA", at positions 30 to 507 of the family's 1533-position model. The record is from RNAcentral.